RNAcentral lists this ribosomal RNA (468 nucleotides) under uncultured bacterium. Its description in RNAcentral is "partial 16S ribosomal RNA". It matches the Rfam family "Bacterial small subunit ribosomal RNA", at positions 28 to 507 of the family's 1533-position model. The record is from RNAcentral.
GACGAACGCUGGCGGCGUGCUUAACACAUGCAAGUCGAACGGAAAGGCCCUGCUUUUGUGGGGUGCUCGAGUGGCGAACGGGUGAGUAACACGUGAGUAACCUGCCCUUGACUUUGGGAUAACUUCAGGAAACUGGGGCUAAUACCGGAUAGGAGCUCCUGCUGCAUGGUGGUGGUUGGAAAGUUUCGGCGGUUGGGGAUGGACUCGCGGCUUAUCCGCUUGUUGGUGGGGUAGUGGCUUACCAAGGCUUUGACGGGUAGCCGGCCUGAGAGGGUGACCGGCCACAAUGGGACUGAGAGACGGCCCAGACUGCUACGGGAGGCAGCAGUGGAGAGUAUUGCACAAUGGGCGGAAGCCUGAUACAGCAACGCCGCGUGCGGAAUGACGGCCUACGGGGUGUAAACAGCUUUCGACGGUGACGAAGCGUGAGUGACGGUAAUGGGUAAAGAAGCACCGGCUAACUACGUG